ACGGGGAUAGCAAUAUCCUAGUGGCAAACGGGUGAGUAACACGUGGGAAUCUGCCCAAUAGUGGGGAACAACUCCUCGAAAGAGGAGCUAAUACCGCAUACGGUCUGCGAGGACUAAAGCCUUCGGGCGCUAUUGGAGGAGCCUGCGGCUGAUUAGCUAGUUGGUGGGGUAACGGCCUACCAAGGCGGUGAUCAGUAGCUGGUCUGAGAGGAUGGACAGCCACACUGGGACUGAGAUACGGCCCAGACUCCUACGGGAGGCAGCAGCGAGGAAUUUUCCGCAAUGGGGGAAACCCUGACGGAGCAACGCCGCGUGGGUGAAGAAGUCUUUCGGG
Molecule: ribosomal RNA, 334 nt
Filed under: uncultured bacterium
Lineage: Bacteria
Description: partial 16S ribosomal RNA
Rfam family: Bacterial small subunit ribosomal RNA
Source: RNAcentral